AUCCUAUAGAAUGAUAUUUGCUUCCGGGAAAGUCCUCAAAAAAUGAACUAUAGUUAGGGGUGUCAAAAUGGGUAACCCAACUCAACUCAACUCAUAAUCAAAUGAGUUCAUUUAAUUUGAUGGGUUGAGUUGUUAAAUGGAUUAACCCAUUUAAGUAAUAAUUUAAUUAAUUAUUAUUAUAAAACAAUAAUAAAUAAUUACCAUUAUUAAUUCAUUAUCAUCAAACUUAGGAUAUUUACGGAUUCCACUUUUUACGGAUUUACGUUUUUGACGAUAAAAUCAUGGGUUUAAGUUUUUGACGGGAAAAUUACGGAUUUACGUUUCUGGCGGGAAAAUUACGGGUUUAAGUUUUUGGCGGGAAAAUCUCGGGUUUACGUUUUUGGCGGGAAAAUCACGGAUUUACGUUUUUGGCGGGAAAAUCACGGAUUUACGUUUUUGGCGGGAAAAUUACGAGUUUACGUUUUUGGUGGGAAAAUCUCGGGGUUACGUUUUUGGCGGAAAAAUUACGGGUUUACGUUUUUGGCGGGAAAAUCUCGGGGUUACGUUUUGGGCGGAAAAAUUACAGGUUUACGUUUUUGGCGGGAAAAUUAUGGAUUUACAUUUUUGGCGGGAAAAUCUCGGGUUUACGUUUUUGGCGGGAAAAUCUCGGGUUUACGUUUUUUGCGAGAAAAUCACGGGUUUACUUUUUUUUGCGGGAAAAUCACGGAUUUAUGUUUUUGGUGGAAAAAUUACGAGUUUACUUUUUCUCAAUUUCAUCUCUUGUAUAUUUAAGAAAUUUGGAAAAAUAUUAAUUUUAUUAAAUUGGUUUAGAUGUGUUGGUUAAACUUAAAUUGGCAUUGGUUUAGAGAUUUUAGAUGGUUUUAUUCAAUUUUACAAAAUUUGAUGGGUUAAUUGGGUAAACCAUUGAAACCAUUAAUCAUUACAACCCAACUCAUUUUACUCAUCAAACCAAUUGACUCAACUCAUUUGACCCAUCAACUCAUUUAAGUCAAAAUUUUCAAUUCAUUAGGGUUCAUGGGUUGAGUUGAGUUGAGUUGACCCAUGAAUUUUGACCCAUUUUGACACCCCUAACUAUAGUAUGAUAUUUAUUAACUGUUCCAACGGAAGCGUGUUCAAGAAGGUACCCUUUUUUCCUUACUCUGUUUC
RNAcentral lists this small RNA (1146 nucleotides) under Arabidopsis thaliana (thale cress). Its description in RNAcentral is "ATSL023610". The record is from RNAcentral. Lineage: Eukaryota; Viridiplantae; Streptophyta; Magnoliopsida; Brassicales; Brassicaceae.